GAUUAAGUUAUUAAGGGCGCACGGUGGAUGCCUUGGCACUAGAAGCCGAUGAAGGACGUUACUAACGACGAUAUGCUUUGGGGAGCUGUAAGUAAGCUUUGAUCCAGAGAUUUCCGAAUGGGGAAACCCAGCAUGAGUUAUGUCAUGUUAUCGAUAUGUGAAUACAUAGCAUAUCAGAAGGCACACCCGGAGAACUGAAACAUCUUAGUACCCGGAGGAAGAGAAAGAAAAUUCGAUUCCCUUAGUAGCGGCGAGCGAAACGGGAAGAGCCCAAACCAACAAGCUUGCUUGUUGGGGUUGUAGGACACUCUAUACGGAGUUACAAAGGACGACAUUAGACGAAUCAUCUGGAAAGAUGAAUCAAAGAAGGUAAUAAUCCUGUAGUCGAAAAUGUUGUCUCUCUUGAGUGGAUCCUGAGUACGACGGAGCACGUGAAAUUCCGUCGGAAUCUGGGAGGACCAUCUCCUAAGGCUAAAUACUCUCUAGUGACCGAUAGUGAACCAGUACCGUGAGGGAAAGGUGAAAAGCACCCCGGAAGGGGAGUGAAAUAGAACCUGAAACCGUGUGCUUACAAGUAGUCAGAGCCCGUUAAUGGGUGAUGGCGUGCCUUUUGUAGAAUGAACCGGCGAGUUACGAUUUGAUGCAAGGUUAAGCAGUAAAUGUGGAGCCGUAGCGAAAGCGAGUCUGAAUAGGGCGUUUAGUAUUUGGUCGUAGACCCGAAACCAGGUGAUCUACCCUUGGUCAGGUUGAAGUUCAGGUAACACUGAAUGGAGGACCGAACCGACUUACGUUGAAAAGUGAGCGGAUGAACUGAGGGUAGCGGAGAAAUUCCAAUCGAACCUGGAGAUAGCUGGUUCUCUCCGAAAUAGCUUUAGGGCUAGCCUCAAGUGAUGAUUAUUGGAGGUAGAGCACUGUUUGGACGAGGGGCCCCUCUCGGGUUACCGAAUUCAGACAAACUCCGAAUGCCAAUUAAUUUAACUUGGGAGUCAGAACAUGGGUGAUAAGGUCCGUGUUCGAAAGGGAAACAGCCCAGACCACCAGCUAAGGUCCCAAAAUAUAUGUUAAGUGGAAAAGGAUGUGGCGUUGCCCAGACAACUAGGAUGUUGGCUUAGAAGCAGCCAUCAUUUAAAGAGUGCGUAAUAGCUCACUAGUCGAGUGACACUGCGCCGAAAAUGUACCGGGGCUAAACAUAUUACCGAAGCUGUGGAUUGUCCUUUGGACAAUGGUAGGAGAGCGUUCUAAGGGCGUUGAAGCAUGAUCGUAAGGACAUGUGGAGCGCUUAGAAGUGAGAAUGCCGGUGUGAGUAGCGAAAGACGGGUGAGAAUCCCGUCCACCGAUUGACUAAGGUUUCCAGAGGAAGGCUCGUCCGCUCUGGGUUAGUCGGGUCCUAAGCUGAGGCCGACAGGCGUAGGCGAUGGAUAACAGGUUGAUAUUCCUGUACCACCUAUAAUCGUUUUAAUCGAUGGGGGGACGCAGUAGGAUAGGCGAAGCGUGCGAUUGGAUUGCACGUCUAAGCAGUAAGGCUGAGUAUUAGGCAAAUCCGGUACUCGUUAAGGCUGAGCUGUGAUGGGGAGAAGACAUUGUGUCUUCGAGUCGUUGAUUUCACACUGCCGAGAAAAGCCUCUAGAUAGAAAAUAGGUGCCCGUACCGCAAACCGACACAGGUAGUCAAGAUGAGAAUUCUAAGGUGAGCGAGCGAACUCUCGUUAAGGAACUCGGCAAAAUGACCCCGUAACUUCGGGAGAAGGGGUGCUCUUUAGGGUUAACGCCCAGAAGAGCCGCAGUGAAUAGGCCCAAGCGACUGUUUAUCAAAAACACAGGUCUCUGCUAAACCGUAAGGUGAUGUAUAGGGGCUGACGCCUGCCCGGUGCUGGAAGGUUAAGAGGAGUGGUUAGCUUUUGCGAAGCUACGAAUCGAAGCCCCAGUAAACGGCGGCCGUAACUAUAACGGUCCUAAGGUAGCGAAAUUCCUUGUCGGGUAAGUUCCGACCCGCACGAAAGGCGUAACGAUUUGGGCACUGUCUCAACGAGAGACUCGGUGAAAUCAUAGUACCUGUGAAGAUGCAGGUUACCCGCGACAGGACGGAAAGACCCCGUGGAGCUUUACUGUAGCCUGAUAUUGAAAUUCGGCACAGCUUGUACAGGAUAGGUAGGAGCCUUUGAAACGUGAGCGCUAGCUUACGUGGAGGCGCUGGUGGGAUACUACCCUAGCUGUGUUGGCUUUCUAACCCGCACCACUUAUCGUGGUGGGAGACAGUGUCAGGCGGGCAGUUUGACUGGGGCGGUCGCCUCCUAAAAGGUAACGGAGGCGCUCAAAGGUUCCCUCAGAAUGGUUGGAAAUCAUUCAUAGAGUGUAAAGGCAUAAGGGAGCUUGACUGCGAGACCUACAAGUCGAGCAGGGUCGAAAGACGGACUUAGUGAUCCGGUGGUUCCGCAUGGAAGGGCCAUCGCUCAACGGAUAAAAGCUACCCCGGGGAUAACAGGCUUAUCUCCCCCAAGAGUUCACAUCGACGGGGAGGUUUGGCACCUCGAUGUCGGCUCAUCGCAUCCUGGGGCUGUAGUCGGUCCCAAGGGUUGGGCUGUUCGCCCAUUAAAGCGGUACGCGAGCUGGGUUCAGAACGUCGUGAGACAGUUCGGUCCCUAUCCGUCGUGGGCGUAGGAAAUUUGAGAGGAGCUGUCCUUAGUACGAGAGGACCGGGAUGGACAUACCUCUGGUGUACCAGUUGUCGUGCCAACGGCAUAGCUGGGUAGCUAUGUGUGGACGGGAUAAGUGCUGAAAGCAUCUAAGCAUGAAGCCCCCCUCAAGAUGAGAUUUCCCAACUUCGGUUAUAAGAUCCCUCAAAGAUGAUGAGGUUAAUAGGUUCGAGGUGGAAGCAUGGUGACAUGUGGAGCUGACGAAUACUAAUCGAUCGAAGACUUAAUCAA
RNAcentral lists this ribosomal RNA (2923 nucleotides) under Staphylococcus aureus. RNAcentral describes it as "23S ribosomal RNA". It matches the Rfam family "Bacterial large subunit ribosomal RNA". Lineage: Bacteria; Bacillati; Bacillota; Bacilli; Caryophanales; Staphylococcaceae. The record is from RNAcentral.